RNAcentral lists this transfer RNA (75 nucleotides) under bacterium. RNAcentral describes it as "tRNA-Met". It matches the Rfam family "tRNA". From Rfam's summary of the family: Transfer RNA (tRNA) molecules are approximately 80 nucleotides in length. Their secondary structure includes four short double-helical elements and three loops (D, anti-codon, and T loops). RNAcentral also lists the same sequence under 1 other name. The record is from RNAcentral.
UGCGGGAUAGAGCAGUGGCAGCUCGUCUGGCCCAUAACCAGAAGGUCAUUGGUUCGAGUCCAAUUCCCGCAACCA